Molecule: ribosomal RNA, 117 nt
Filed under: uncultured bacterium
Lineage: Bacteria
Description: partial 16S ribosomal RNA
Rfam family: Bacterial small subunit ribosomal RNA
Source: RNAcentral
UACGUUCCCGGGCCUUGUACACACCGCCCGUCACACCACGAAAGUCGGCAACACCCGAAGCCGGUGGCCCAACCGGCAAGGAGGGAGCCGUCGAAGGUGGGGUCGGUGAUUGGGGUG